GACGAACGCUGGCGGCGUGCUUAACACAUGCAAGUCGAACGCUGAACCCGCUUCGGUGGGGGAUGAGUGGCGAACGGGUGAGUAACACGUGGGCAACCUGCCCCCGGCUCUGGGAUAACUCCAAGAAAUUGGGGCUAAUACCGGAUGUGACCGCUGGCCGCAUGGUCUGGUGGUGGAAAGGGUUUCCGGCUGGGGAUGGGCCCGCGGCCUAUCAGCUUGUUGGUGGGGUAGUGGCCUACCAAGGCGACGACGGGUAGCCGGCCUGAGAGGGUGACCGGCCACACUGGGACUGAGACACGGCCCAGACUCCUACGGGAGGCAGCAGUGGGGAAUAUUGCGCAAUGGGCGGAAGCCCGACGCAGCGACGCCGCGUGGGGGAUGACGGCCUUCGGGUUGUAAACCUCUUUCAGCAGGGACGAAGCGCAAGUGACGGUACCUGCAGAAGAAGCACCGGCCAACUACGUG
RNAcentral lists this ribosomal RNA (465 nucleotides) under uncultured bacterium. RNAcentral's name for it is "partial 16S ribosomal RNA". It matches the Rfam family "Bacterial small subunit ribosomal RNA", at positions 28 to 507 of the family's 1533-position model. The record is from RNAcentral.